GGGGGGGGCUUGAUUCCUUGCAAGGUCGUGCGCCUCAGCAAUGAGGAGCGGCAGACGGGUGAGUAACGCGUGGGAAUCUACCCAUCCCUACGGAACAACUCCGGGAAACUGGAGCUGAUACCGUAUACGUCCUUCGGGAGAAAGAUUUAUCGGGGAUGGAUGAGCCCGCGUUGGAUUAGCUGGUUGGUGGGGUAAUGACCUACCAAGGCGACGAUCCAUAGCUGGUCUGAGAGGAUGAUCAGCCACACUGGGACUGAGACACGGCCCAGACUCCUACGGGAGGCAGCAGUGGGGAAUAUUGGACAAUGGGCGCAAGCCUGAUCCAGCCAUGCCGCGUGAGUGAUGAAGGCCCUAGGGUUGUAAAGCUCUUUCACCGGUGAAGAUAAUGACGGUAUCUGAGGAAUAAGCAUCGGCUAACUUCGUGCCAGCAGCCGCGGUAAUACGGAGGAUGCAAGCGUUAUCCGGAAUGAUUGGGCGUAAAGGGUCCGCAGGUGGUUGUUCAAGUCUGCUGUUAAAGCGUCUGGCUUAACUAGAUAAAGGCAGUGGAAACUGAAGGACUAGAGUGCGGUAGAGGUAGAGGGAAUUCCCAGUGUAGCGGUGAAAUGCGUAGAGAUUGGGAAGAACACCAGCGGCGAAAGCGCUCUACUGGACCGCAACUGACACUCAUGGACGAAAGCUAGGGGAGCGAAUGGGAUUAGAUACCCCAGUAGUCCUAGCCGUAAACGAUGGAUACUAGGCGUUGAGAGUAUCGACCCUCUCAGUGCCGUAGCCAACGCGUUAAGUAUCCCGCCUGGGGAGUACGCACGCAAGUGUGAAACUCAAAGGAAUUGACGGGGACCCGCACAAGCGGUGGAGUAUGUGGUUUAAUUCGAUGCAACGCGAAGAACCUUACCAGGGUUUGACAUGUCGCGAAUCUCCUGGAAACGGGAGAGUGCCUUCGGGAGCGCGAACACAGGUGGUGCAUGGCUGUCGUCAGCUCGGUUGCUAUGUCGUGAGAUGUUGGGUUAAGUCCCGCAACGAGCGCAACCCUCGUCUUUAGUUGCCAGCAUUCAGUUGGGCACUCUAGAGAUACUGCCGGUGACAAAUCGGAGGAAGGUGGGGAUGACGUCAAGUCUUCAUGCCCCUUACACCCUGGGCUACACACGUACUACAAUGCUGUGGACAAAAGGCAGCAAGCCAGCAAUGGUAAGCAAAUCCCACAAACCACGGCUCAGUUCAGAUCGCAGGCUGCAACUCGCCUGCGUGAAGGUGGAAUCGCUAGUAAUUCCAGAUCAGCAUUGCUGGGGUGAAUUCGUUCCCGGGUCUUGUACACACCGCCCGUCACACCAUGGAAGUUGGUUUUGCCCGAAGUCGUUAUUCCAACCCUGUGGAGGGAAGCCCCGAAGGGCAGGGGGGG
Molecule: ribosomal RNA, 1396 nt
Filed under: uncultured Brasilonema sp.
Lineage: Bacteria; Bacillati; Cyanobacteriota; Cyanophyceae; Nostocales; Scytonemataceae
Description: partial 16S ribosomal RNA
Rfam family: Bacterial small subunit ribosomal RNA
Source: RNAcentral